UAUAAAUAGGUCAUCAAUUUAUACUUGUAAUGAUUCAAGUUUCACUCAAUAAAAUUGUGAAGUUAUAGUUUUCAACUAGUGAGGUUUUCUUCAACCUUCAUGUUGAAUGAGGAAUUGAUGUCUACUUAUCAAAGUAACUUGUCACAUGGUGUCUUCAUCAUUUUAUUUUCUCGAAUUGAUUUUAACUUAUCAAGAUUCUUCUUGUGGUUUUCAAAUCAAUUCAUUUAUCCC
Molecule: long non-coding RNA, 231 nt
Filed under: Carica papaya (papaya)
Lineage: Eukaryota; Viridiplantae; Streptophyta; Magnoliopsida; Brassicales; Caricaceae
Description: long non-coding RNA (CPAP_LNC009437)
Source: RNAcentral